Molecule: ribosomal RNA, 208 nt
Filed under: uncultured bacterium
Lineage: Bacteria
Description: partial 16S ribosomal RNA
Rfam family: Bacterial small subunit ribosomal RNA
Source: RNAcentral
UACGUAGGGUGCGAGCGUUGUCCGGAAUUAUUGGGCGUAAAGAGCUCGUAGGCGGUUUGUCGCGUCUGCUGGUGAAAACUCCGAGGCUCAACCUCGGACUUGCAGUGGGUACGGGCAGACUGAGAGUGUGGUAGGGGAGACUGGAAUUCCUGGUGUAGCGGUGGAAUGACGCAGAUAGCAGGGAGGAACACCGGUGGGCGAAGGCGGG